This 217-nucleotide unclassified non-coding RNA is filed under the name Hevea brasiliensis (rubber tree). Lineage: Eukaryota; Viridiplantae; Streptophyta; Magnoliopsida; Malpighiales; Euphorbiaceae. The record is from RNAcentral.
GGGGCUCAGGCGCUUGUUGGCUACAAGGAUUCCGCAGGUCCUAUGACUGUUAAAACGUACAACGUCAGCUCUGCCGCUUCGGUGGUGCAAUCCAAAUUGGCUUUUGAUGUGUGGGACGAACAGGCAGAGGAGGAUAACGGCGUCAUGAGGAUCUUUGCGAAAAUUAAGGUUCCGGCGGACUUGGCAGCGAAGGGGGUGGUGAAUCAGGUGUGGCAGG